Non-coding RNA from Meleagris gallopavo (turkey), 1071 nucleotides. Lineage: Eukaryota; Metazoa; Chordata; Aves; Galliformes; Phasianidae. The record is from RefSeq and is a predicted model, not a curated record.
UAAAAUAACUUUUCUCUUUAUUUGCAUUUAAAUUCAGUGAGCCUAGAAAAGCAGGCGUACAAUUGUACUAAACUCAUCAGUUAUGUGCAAACAUCAGAUACAGAAUAAACCUUGUAACUAGGGGCUCCUAGGAGCAUUAUUAUACUGCAUCUGUUCUUAUUUGAGAGCCUUGAAUAAAUAUAGAAUGAAGUCUAUGUUGCUAAUGGUUUUUGGGUUGUGGCUCAUUUGCUAGUUUUCCCUUUCCAAAAUAUUGCUUGCAUAUUUUGUAGUCCAUGAUUAUGCAGAAACAAAACCACAGAUGUUUAUAUUUCUGGGGUUUCUUCUUCUAAGUACAUACUCUCUUAAACAUAUCCCAUGAAAAAUCCAUGUCUCACCCAUUCAUUUCAUAAUCAUGUUAGAGAUAUUCUGAAAGCAGCAUUUUAUGGUCUUCUGGGGAUUCUCAUCCAUCUUUGUCCUCCAUUCUUCAUUUCUUUCCUCCCUUCAUGCUGCCUUCUGUCUCUUCAGUUUGUGUGACUGCUGAGAGCGCUGUCAGGUUCUACAUCCACUUGUAUUCCUUGUUUCAGAUUCAUGAUACAAUCACUGGAAUGAUUAUCCAGUGGUGAGACCUUGGCUUGAUGUUCUUCACCAUGUCAAUCUUGUCCCCAGUGGCACAGUCAUACCAAUGUUAGGUGUUCUGGAACAAAAGCAUGUUGUCAUUCAUCAUUGUAGAAUCAUAGACUUCUAGGGGAAACCUGUUCCACACUCCACCACCACACUUAACAGCAUACCUGAAAGAAAGAAGCGAAAGGAAGUAGAAGUGAGAGAGACCACAUCUACCCUCGUCUGAUGUUAAGAUUGCAGGAACAUCCUGUCUGUAUAAUCCUAGACUGAAACAGCACCUGCUAAGCAUUUAUGUCUUCAAGUAUUACUCAAAAACAAUCUGAGAACAGUGUGAAAUUGGAGAAUUGCCUUAAGAUUUUAUAGUAACUUCCAUGCAUUUCAAGGAGGAAGGUAAAACAAAUCAUGCAAGGAAGAUGCAAUCACAAAGAAAUUAAAUCUUACAUGUGGGAAAUAAAAAUAUGUAUUUGAAUA